GCCCCAGAAUUCAGGGGAGGCAGCUUAGCAAAAAGGGUGAGCGGCGAGGGGACUCGGCCCCUCCUAGCGGCCCGGGCUGAACGCUCCUGCUUUGUCUUAGGACGGGCGGCAGUUCCAAGCCCAGGGCGCUCGCGACACGAGGACCCGGCCUCAGGCCUGCACGUCCGCUCGCCGGGCGGUCACUGCGCGGCCGGGGACGCCGCUCUGGCUUGCCCCUUGCCUACCUAGAGAACAAAACUCAACUCGACUCUAUUUUAAAAAUGUUCAGUUGUCCUUUCCAUUGGCUGUACCCGUGGCCAUUGAGAGCCACAGCGCAGCGCGGCAGCCCUCCCGGGGCCUCCCCUGUGCCGGCAACCCCAAUCUCUCCGCCAGCCAGCCCCCCGGGCGUCCACACAGGUCGGGGAGCCGCACGGUGAUACGGCUCCUUCCCAGUACUCAGGUCUGCGCCUUCCUGCCACGAAGGAAGGUGCACUCCACCCCGUGCACCCACGCACACAUGCACUGCACUUCCUGUCCCUCGCCCUUCCACUCGGUGGUCAUUAUGUCCCUGAGGGGAAUAGGCUGUGUUCUCCUCGCGUUGCCUGGGGUCCAGGAUGACUCAGUUUGAUCAUUUGUUUUGGCUUCCGUGCAUUUGCACGACUGCAAGCCCACACUCUCCCCGCGCUGUGCACACACCACUUCUAAGUCAGUUUUCUGGGCGCAGGCUCCCCUGGAACCGUGGUCGCUGUCCGGUGUGGGGUGGGUGCUGGUGGCGGCCACGGAGACUCCCCACACCCGCUGACCUCCCCCCGCCUGGCCUUGCCCGGUGGCCUCUGUCCCGCUCCUCGGUCUCUUCUGGCUGAAUUGGCUCCUGGGCCUUCGGUGGAGCACGUGCUCGAGGAAUUCUUGAGAAAGGGGCCGAGGUGGCCAAGUGGGAGGGGCUUGCAGUUCUGAAACCAUCGUUGUUUGACACAGUUUGGGCUUAGAGUCCCGGGUUGGAAAUCGUGCUCAGGGUUCCCAUGGCACUGCUGGGGCUCCCCCAGCUUCUGGGACUGUCGCUGGGAGCCUCUGUGCCAUUGUGACACUUGGUCCUGCCUGGGAGACCUUCCUGUGCUCUCCCCGAAACUUCUCAACUGUCACACGGUGUGUCUCUUUAUGGUUCUCCUCUCACGCCAGGGCCGCACGUUCCUGGAGACGCUUAUGCCCAAGUCUCAGAUUUCCUCAGCUCCCUUGUCCUGCUUCCUCUUUCUUAAUCGCUUUGCCCUCCCCUGCCCCCCCCCCCCCACUUUGGGGAAUAGGGCUUCCCCAAAAGUGGUGAUCUUUGACAGCUCAGAUCUAAGAUGAGAUAGUGAAAACAUGUUUAUGAACUGUGUGCGCACAUGUACAUGCGUUUAUGCACAUAUGUGAGUGUGCAUGCAUGCGCGUGUGAGUGCAUGUGUGUGCAUGUGUGCACACAUGUGCUUGCAUUUUGGAGGGUGGGUGAAGUUGCCAGAUUUAACAAAUAAAAAUACAAGAAAGCCCAGUUAAACGUGGAUUUCAGGUGAAACCAAAAAUUUUUUCGUUGUCUUUCUGAAAUCCACGUUUCACUGGGCUCCUGUGUUUCAUCUGCCGCCCGAGGCCGGAGGUGCUUCCUCACUGUUUGGGCCUUGGCGCUGUGUGGGCGGAUGCAGGUCUUUGCUUUCAGGCUUUUGCAGGCUGCAGCCUGGAGGUAAGUGUGGCACCAGCGCUGGCGACCCCGCCGGGAGGAAGGCUGCAGCCCUCCCCAUGGAGAGCUUGUUCACUCCCUGGUGCUCCUUGCCGCCCGCGCCCUCUGUCCUGGAGCCUGAGACCCUCGGUUUUGCCCUCUCCAAGGAAUAAAACAUCUGCUCAGCUAGGGCGGAGGAGGGCGGAGGAGGGCACACGGAGAGCUCAGUGCUUCUCUCAGGACUAGCAUCCACUCCUGGCGUCUGCGGUCCCUUCCCCACCUCUGGAGCGGCGUGCACCUGCUCGUGGCAGCCUCUGGGCCUUCCCGGGUGGGCCGGCUUGCUCCCGACUCCUGGCCGCGCAUUGGGCUUUCCUGGGUCUGUAACGUCAGUUCACUUGCCCGUCCCUCGUCCUUGUUGUGGCCUCUUCUGGUUCUCUCUGUCUGUGGGGACCUCGGCCAUUAUCUGCUGCCAUCCGUGCUGGGCUCUGUUCUGUCGUCUGACGGGAGUGCACCCCAAUUUCAUUUCUAAGGUGAUCUGCCCCUUCCGACGAGUGCGGGUCUCCACCAAACAGUAGUAACGGUGGCCACUCAUCAUAUAAAAACUGCCGUUUGGUGCCAGGCUCCGUCCUGGGCAUUGGCACAUGCUCCAGAUGGCUUUGCUUCACGCAGCCGCUCUGGGCGAUGCGCCUGGGUCUCUAGUUUUUAGCUAAGAAGAGUGGCCUCCGCGAGCUAGUGGCUUCAGUCGCAGCCUGGGUCCCACAGCAAGUGGGCAGAGGCCAGUCCACACCCUGGCCUCUGACAUGGUGCCUCUGUUUGGAGCGCUGGGAUUCUUUCCUCUUAGUAACUCCAGCUGCCAGAGCUGGGUGUGUGCUCUGGGGGGACGGGGUGGACUGGGAGCACCCCCUCGACCAGUUAGGCAGGGGUCUCUGGCCUGAGGCCCCUCCUGGCCACUCGCUCCUGCGGGGGCCAGCUCAGAGCAUCCCGAAAGCUGCCCCCACUUGCCUGCCUGCCUUUGUGUGUCUCUUUAUUGAAUUUUUAAGGGGAAGUCUAGAUGCUUUUUUUUUUUUUUUUUUUAAUAAGAUUUGUAUCUUCUCACUGUUUGGGUACCACCAAAUGGGUUGGAGCUAUUAAAAAAAAAAAAAAACCCUCUCUCGACCAUAGCUUUCAUGUACACGAUGGACAAGACUGAUUUUAAAGAUUGAGUAGGUGAUUUUUAUGUUGUGUGCACUUAGUAUAAACAAACGGAACAGUCUGAACAAACCCGAGUGCCCUUUUGUUCUCUAUUUAUGUCUAAUACUGACGGUUUUGUGGAAAAGCUACGUUUUUACGAUUCUGAGGUACCUACUUCUUUUCCCCUGGGGAAAAUUUAACUGCGUCUUAUUUAUUGCACUGGGUAUUAACACUCAUAGUUUAUUAAGGCAUUUUCUCCAGGGCUCGUUGAGCCUGAGGCGUUGGGAACGGAUGCUCUGGUGUGUGGAAGGAGGUUAUAUUAAAGUCCAGCCAUGCACAGCAGGGAACAGAAUAGGACCCCUGAAUUCCAGGGGGAGGCAAUCACUCCCGGACCUCACGGAUCCAUCCGGACAGGUCUCACCUUCCCAAGCCUACAAGUUUUUGCCUAAGCCACUUGAAGAGUGAGGUGGGACUCAGCGCUGUUUCUUUUCUGGUCUUUGCUCUGCUGGAAGCAUCCGGGCAGCCCGGGGCCAAGCUGAGGCUCAGAGUGUGGGAAGACCAGCCACCCCCGUGUGGUGUUUAGAAGGGGCAGUGCUGGAAGGAGGGCCAAGCCACUGCUCGUCCCUGCGGGUGGGAUACCCACGGUGGGGUGUGUGUGUGUGUGUGUCAGUUCCACACUCAUCAUAAGGCUUCUCUCUGACCUGAGCCAGGCCCUCAGGGAUCUGGGGGUGGGUCACCAUCAGGGACUGCUGUAUCAGGCUGGUCCUCUUGGGAAGUGGCCAGGACCCCCAGUCCUGGUGUCCAGGGCAGUGGUGAGAGCCGACCCAGUGUGGCUGUUGUUUCAACAGCAGGAGACCCUGGGGAGCGGGUCAAGUGGUCAUUUGGGGGCAUGGGUGGAUUCUGAGCUCUUUUGAAUCUGAAGCAAGACCCCAGACAGUGGCAUGGAUGGUCAUGGGUGCAAGGCAUGCACCUCCAUCUGGAGUUGGAGGGCUUGGCUGGGUGAAGGGCACCCUCCUCUGUGGCUCGGGGGUGAUACUCCAUUGGAGCUGAGUGAGUCCUGAUCCCUGGGCACUUUGGGCUUGGAGGAAGCCUAGGCUGGCUCUGGAGUCAGCUUCAAUUGCAUUUCUGGCAACAUCAGUCCAGGGAAACAAGGGAGGGGCAGGCUGGGCUCAAGAGCUCUGGCAGGGUGUCCUAAUGACUACAUCUUGGAGAGGGUCCCAUUGUCCGGGUCGGUGACCACCCUAUCUGGGUGUUGGGCCCCAGGCACCCACCUCCGCUAGGCAGUGGGUGGGCAGCUGCUUUGGGUAGUUGUGGGUGAGCAGUGGACUGUGGGACCAUGCCCCACCCUUUGCUCUAAGCCCAGCUGCUGUGCAGGUGCUGCCGUGCUGUGCAUCGUGGCCCCACACGCAGGCAUCCUAAUACUCAGAACAUGAGAACAUGACUCAGUUUGGAAAGAGCCUCUCUGCACAUGUAAUUAAGUUAAGGAUCUUCAGAUGGGAUCAUGUUGGAUUCCAUCUGGGAUCAUCUGGGUGGCCCUAAAUUCAGUGAUAAAUGUCCUGAUAAGGGGCAGAAGAGACACGAACACACAGAGGAGAUGGUGAUGCGAAGACAGUCCCAGAGAUUGAAGAUUCGCUGCCACAGCCCAGGAAUGCCAACAACUGCCAGGAGCGGGGAGAGACCAGGAAGGACCCUUCUCUAAGGCUUCUAGGGGGACCCGGCUGACACCCUGAUUUCAGACUUCCGGUUUCCAGAGUCGUGAGAGAAUACAUUUCCAUUGUUUUAAGCCACCAGUUUAUGGUACUUUGUUACGGCAGCCCCAGGACACUAAUGCAAAAGGCAAGAGAGGAAUCUAGAGUGAUGCUAUGUGGAGGCCACAUGGUGGCUGUGCUGGUGGUGGUGGGACUGUGUAUGCAUGUGCGUAAAUGUAUGUGUGCAUGUAUAUGUGUGCAAUUGCACACACACAUGUGUCUAUACGUGCAAGAGUGUGCGUGUGCACCUGCAGGGAGUGGGGAUUCCGGUUCCAGGGCAUCUGAGCGAUUUACAGGCAGGUUGGUGCCUCUGCAGUGGUGUUGGUUUCAAAAGGCGUGGCUGUGGCUGCAGAUGAGAUGUCCGGCAGCAGGCAAUGGGCCACAGCUCGCAGCCCACCUGGGCUUCCUACAGCCAUGCUGCUGAGCCAGGCGUCCUCCCCCACCACUCCCUGAACCUCUGGAGUCCUCGGCCAAGACUCAUGGCCAUGGGAUCCCAGAGGAGGUCCUAUGCAGCCUUGUUUCAUCUGAGGCCUGGCAGAGAGGCUUAGGAUUCUUCCAUUCUGUGCGAUUUGUGUGCCGGUUCCUGUUGGCGUUACGUCAGGGCCACAGAUGCAGGGACCUUGAUUGUGGGCAGAUCUGGAGAGGAGAUAAUGCCUGACACGGGGAUCCCAUAUUCCGUCUUUGAGGAGGGGGCCGUCAUGUGGGAAUUGGGACCAAGGGAGAAACAGCACAGCUUGAGGGGCUCAAGUCACCCACCGGACACCAAAGGGACAGAAGGAAGGAAGGCAGCUGUGCCCGGUCGGCCUGGCCCGUGCCCGGGAGCCCGCGGCGAGGCCUGGGGGUGCUCUCCGUGGUGCUGAAGCCUGCGGCUGCCUCCCCAACCACUUGGCUUUCCCUGCCCUCGUCCCCUGUGUGUACAUCCAGGGCCAAACCAAGGACAGCUGACAUUGAGGGAGACCGACGACAGCAUGGGCGCCCAGUGUGAAGAUCACGGACAGAACAACUGGCUCCGAGAAAGGUAGACACAGCCCAGGGAAAGUCAAAAUGUUUACAUUAAAUUAUAGGGCAGCCCUGGUGGCGCAGCAGUUUGGCGCCGCCUGCAGCCUGGGGUAUGAUCCUGGAGACCCGGGAUUGAGUCCCACGUCGGGCUCCCUGCAUGGAGCCUGCUUCUCCCUCUGCCUGUGUCUCUGCCUCUCUCUCUCUGUGUCA
Molecule: long non-coding RNA, 5790 nt
Filed under: Canis lupus familiaris (dog)
Lineage: Eukaryota; Metazoa; Chordata; Mammalia; Carnivora; Canidae
Description: lncRNA (ENSCAFG00000054259.1)
Source: RNAcentral